This 407-nucleotide ribosomal RNA is filed under the name uncultured bacterium. RNAcentral's name for it is "partial 16S ribosomal RNA". It matches the Rfam family "Bacterial small subunit ribosomal RNA", at positions 355 to 752 of the family's 1533-position model. The record is from RNAcentral.
UGGGGAAUUUUGGACAAUGGGCGCAAGCCUGAUCCAGCAAUGCUGCGUGCAGGAUGAAGGCCUUCGGGUUGUAAACUGCUUUUGUACGGAACGAAAAGGCUCUGGCUAAUACCUGGGGCACAUGACGGUACCGUAAGAAUAAGCACCGGCUAACUACGUGCCAGCAGCCGCGGUAAUACGUAGGGUGCGAGCGUUAAUCGGAAUUACUGGGCGUAAAGCGUGCGCAGGCGGUUUUGUAAGACAGAGGUGAAAUCCCCGGGUCUCAACCUGGGAACUGCCUUUGUGACUGCAAGGCUGGAGUGCGGCAGAGGGGGGAUGGAAUUCCGCGUGUAGCAGUGAAAUGCGUAGAUAUGCGGAGGAACACCGAUGGCGAAGGCAAUCCCCUGGGCCUGCACUGACGCUCAUGC